RNAcentral lists this ribosomal RNA (485 nucleotides) under uncultured bacterium. Its description in RNAcentral is "partial 16S ribosomal RNA". It matches the Rfam family "Bacterial small subunit ribosomal RNA", at positions 30 to 506 of the family's 1533-position model. The record is from RNAcentral.
AUUGAACGCUGGCGGCAUGCCUUACACAAGCAAGUCGAACGGCAGCACGGGUGCUUGCACCUGGUGGCGAGUGGCGAACGGGUGAGUAAUACAUCGGAACAUGUCCUGUAGUGGGGGAUAGCCCGGCGAAAGCCGGAUUAAUACCGCAUACGAUCUACGGAUGAAAGCGGGGGACCUUCGGGCCUCGCGCUAUAGGGUUGGCCGAUGGCUGAUUAGCUAGUUGGUGGGGUAAAGGCCUACCAAGGCGACGAUCAGUAGCUGGUCUGAGAGGACGACCAGCCACACUGGGACUGAGACACGGCCCAGACUCCUACGGGAGGCAGCAGUGGGGAAUUUUGGACAAUGGGCGAAAGCCUGAUCCAGCAAUGCCGCGUGUGUGAAGAAGGCCUUCGGGUUGUAAAGCACUUUUGUCCGGAAAGAAAUCCUUGGCCCUAAUACGGUCGGGGGAUGACGGUACCGGAAGAAUAAGCACCGGCUAACUACGU